RNAcentral lists this ribosomal RNA (253 nucleotides) under uncultured bacterium. RNAcentral's name for it is "partial 16S ribosomal RNA". It matches the Rfam family "Bacterial small subunit ribosomal RNA", at positions 524 to 776 of the family's 1533-position model. The record is from RNAcentral.
GACAGGGGGCUCGAGCGUUAAUCGGAAUCAUUGGGCUUAAAGGGUGCGUAGGCGGGUUGCUAAGUGUUCUGUGAAAUCCCCCGGCUCAACCGGGGAAUCGCAGGGCAUACUGGCAGCCUUGAGGCAUGUAGGGGCGGACGGAACUGUAGGUGGAGCGGUGAAAUGCGUAGAUAUCUACAGGAACGCCGAUGGGGAAGACGGUCCGCUGGGCAUGUCCUGACGCUGAGGCACGAAAGCGUGGGGAGCAAACAGG